AUCUCCUCAUGUUAAGGAAAAAUUCCAUUUAUUUUCCUGGACUGUGAGGUGAUGAGAUCUAGGAUCCCCCCCCUCCCCAUGUCUUGGAUGAGCACAAACCAAUGCUCAGACCUUCUUGUACAGUAUUUAACAGUAUCCAAAAACUUUAUUGUUCUGCUCAGUUCCUCCAGGCAAGAAACAAUACAAGGAAGGGGUUAAACAGGAACGUUCUGGGAGGCAGGGAUGGCUUUGAUGGCUGCAGCUCUGUGCUCACAGGGCUGCUGGUACCCCAACACAGCUUUCCCUGGCUCCCCCAAGCAGCAAGAACUACUUUGUUACAACAACCUGGUUGAGUUUUCAACUCAAAGAGAGUCCUUCUAAUGCCAUAAGCAAAAUCUGGAUGUAUUUCCCAACCUUGCUAUUUCUGUGAGUGUUUUACUCCUUACCUUUGCUGACAUAAUUGUUUUGGCAGCAAAGAUUUCUCACUGCACUUGCCUGCUGAAAAUACUGGGCUGAUCUGUGUUUCCUGUAUUAUCUGCAGCUGAAGCUCUCCUCCUGCAUGCCAAUCCCUGCAUUUCACCUCCCUGCUUUCCCAGGCCUACAGCAACAGCUACAGGAGCUUGUGAAGCUGUAAAGGAAAAGGCACAGGGAAAAAUCAACACCAAGUUUCAUGCUUAGUUUGCACUCCAGCUCUGCUGUGCUCGUGAUGGAGAUUCUUUUAAUGUCCUCCAGCACCUCCAGCAGAGGAACAGCAGGAAAGAAUGAAGGGGGGAUAAAACCCCAACAGUCAACGCCCAAGGGUCACACACACACUUGCUCUGUGUGAAACCACACAUACAUUUAUAUUUCUCUGGUUUAUAAAAGCUCCUCUGACCCUGGAGGAUGCCCAGGGAGCUCUGGCACACAGACUGAAGCUGCUCCUGAGGUACGUGCCGCUCUCCUCUGCAGGCUCUCAGUGCCAUCCAGCUCCUGACAGAAAAGGCAAUUGCAGCAUUACAUCCUUCCAAAUCAAGAAAGACAAGUGUGCACAAGUGGGGGGAAAUGUGUUGUGGUUCCAGCUGUGUCAUUCCCUUUCAGUGCAGGAAUCUGGAGAACACAAUUAGGUGCUCUCCAGGUAACGCUGCCUAGAUUUACCUUAAUUAGAUCAAACAGCAUCUGAUGCUCCCUCACCACAUCCACAUUGGAAAGCCAAAGGCAGAUUUCUUUAAAAAAAAAAUCUCCUUUUCAUUAAUUUUUUCGCAGAAAUAUAUAUAUUAUAUAUAUAUAUAUAUAAUUUUACUAAUACUAAACACGUACUUAAGUUACAUAUUAGCUUGUAUUUCUUUCAACUACUUCACACAAUGAAUAGAAACA
This 1332-nucleotide long non-coding RNA is filed under the name Cyanistes caeruleus (blue tit). RNAcentral describes it as "lncRNA (ENSCCEG00000001391.1)". Lineage: Eukaryota; Metazoa; Chordata; Aves; Passeriformes; Paridae. The record is from RNAcentral.